GACGAACGCUGGCGGCGUGCUUAACACAUGCAAGUCGAGCGGUGAACCUCUUCGGAGGGGAUCAGUGGCGAACGGGUGAGUAACACGUGGGCAACCUGCCCCCGGCUCUGGGAUAACUCCAAGAAAUUGGGGCUAAUACCGGAUGUUCACCGCUUCCCGCAUGGGUGGUGGUGGAAAGGGUUUCCGGCUGGGGGUGGGCCCGCGGCCUAUCAGCUUGUUGGUGGGGUAGUGGCCUACCAAGGCGACGACGGGUAGCCGGCCUGAGAGGGUGACCGGCCACACUGGGACUGAGACACGGCCCAGACUCCUACGGGAGGCAGCAGUGGGGAAUAUUGCGCAAUGGGCGGAAGCCUGACGCAGCGACGCCGCGUGGGGGAUGACGGCCUUCGGGUUGUAAACCUCUUUCAGCAGGGACGAAGCGCAAGUGACGGUACCUGCAGAAGAAGCACCGGCCAACUACGUG
RNAcentral lists this ribosomal RNA (463 nucleotides) under uncultured bacterium. RNAcentral's name for it is "partial 16S ribosomal RNA". It matches the Rfam family "Bacterial small subunit ribosomal RNA", at positions 28 to 507 of the family's 1533-position model. The record is from RNAcentral.